AUGGUUGGGAGCAGCACAGUUAUGAGACAAACACUGUUCUCAGUUUUUAUGUUUGCGAUAAUUACAUUAAAUGGAUAUAGUCAGGCUUCUGGCAAAAAUGAAAAAUGUCCUGCAAAGCAGGAAACCUCAUGUGAGAGUCUGCGCACGACUAAGGGAUUCACUUACCCCGUGCCCUUGAACAUCCCACCCGGAGAUUGCGAAUAUGCGUGGUAUCUGAUGAAUGGAACAUGUGUUGCUCAUUCAGAUGGAAAAAUGUUAGGACCUGUAGUGGCUAUGACCUUCCAGAAUCUGACUGUAAGUGCCUGUGAGGACCUGCAGUGGCAACUUCACUGUGACAACAUUUAGUUUCAUUGUACUAUCAGUUACACAG
Molecule: long non-coding RNA, 370 nt
Organism: Cyprinus carpio (common carp)
Lineage: Eukaryota; Metazoa; Chordata; Actinopteri; Cypriniformes; Cyprinidae
Source: Ensembl